This 1141-nucleotide ribosomal RNA is filed under the name Paenibacillus sp. MYb67. RNAcentral describes it as "bacterial LSU rRNA". It matches the Rfam family "Bacterial large subunit ribosomal RNA", at positions 1223 to 2356 of the family's 2925-position model. The record is from RNAcentral. Lineage: Bacteria; Bacillati; Bacillota; Bacilli; Caryophanales; Paenibacillaceae.
CAGGGGUAGGGGAGCGUUGUAUAAGGGUUGAAGGUGUACCGUAAGGAGCGCUGGACAUUAUACAAGUGAGAAUGCCGGUAUGAGUAACGAAAAGAUCAGUGAGAAUCUGAUCCGCCGAAAGCCUAAGGGUUCCUGAGGAAGGCUCGUCCGCUCAGGGUAAGUCGGGACCUAAGGCGAGGCCGAAAGGCGUAGUCGAAGGACAACAGGUCGAAAUUCCUGUACCACCGUAAGCCGUUAUGAGCAAUGGGGGGACGCAGUAGGGUAGUGACGCGGACUGAUGGAUGUCCGUCUAAGCAGUAAGGCUGAUGUGUAGGCAAAUCCGCACAUUGUAAGGCUGAGCUGUGAUGGGGAGCGAAAAUUAUAGUAGCGAAGGUCAUGAUCUCACACUGCCAAGAAAAGCCUCUAGCCAGGUGAUGGUGCCCGUACCGCAAACCGACACAGGUAGGCGAGAAGAGUAUUCUAAGGCGCGCGGAAGAACUCUCGUUAAGGAACUCGGCAAAAUGACCCCGUAACUUCGGGAGAAGGGGUGCCCCGGUAGUGUGAAUAGCACGAGGGGGCCGCAGUGAAAAGGCCCAAGCGACUGUUUAGCAAAAACACAGGUCUGUGCGAAGCCGUAAGGCGAAGUAUACGGGCUGACGCCUGCCCGGUGCUGGAAGGUUAAGGGGAGUGGUUAGGGAGUAAUCCCGAAGCUGUGAACCGAAGCCCCAGUAAACGGCGGCCGUAACUAUAACGGUCCUAAGGUAGCGAAAUUCCUUGUCAGGUAAAUUCUGACCCGCACGAAUGGCGUAACGACUUGGGCGCUGUCUCAACGAGAGAUCCGGUGAAAUUUUAAUACCUGUGAAGAUGCAGGUUACCCGCGACAAGACGGAAAGACCCCAUGGAGCUUUACUGCAGCUUGAUAUUGAAUUUGGGUACGAUCUGUACAGGAUAGGUGGGAGCCUUUGAAGCAUGAGCGCCAGCUUGUGUGGAGGCAACGUUGGGAUACCACCCUGAUCGUAUCUAGGUUCUAACCUGGUACCGUAAUCCGGUGCGGGGACAGUGUCAGGUGGGCAGUUUGACUGGGGCGGUCGCCUCCUAAAGAGUAACGGAGGCGCCCAAAGGUUCCCUCAGAAUGGUUGGAAAUCAUUCGAAGAGUGCAAAG